Leptidea sinapis is the source of this 664-nucleotide long non-coding RNA. RefSeq lists it as uncharacterized. The transcript is spliced from 2 exons. NCBI's taxonomy places the organism in Eukaryota, Metazoa, Arthropoda, Insecta, Lepidoptera, Pieridae. The record is from RefSeq and is a predicted model, not a curated record.
CUUCAACACUUUCGAGCAGCCCGCGUCGUAUAAAAGUGUCGCCGCCCUGAGAACAGUAUUCAGUAGCUCACGAGAAGUCACCUGAAGUUCACGAUGAGAUUCCUGAUCGCUUUCGUCGCCUUGAUCGGCUAUGCCGCAGCCAGCGCCAUCCUGUCCCCCGUGGUCUACGGCGCCAACGCCGGAGAUGUGCAGGCUGCUGUCAUCAACGCCAACGUAGCCGCUCGGGACACAGUCCGGGCGAUCGGCGAGGGACAGGUCCGCGCCGCCGAAGCCAACCGUGACCUCCACGAGAACGCCUACUGGGGCAGCGUUGCCGCAUCCCAGAACUACGUGGCUGCCGCUCAGAACCAAGCCGCCGCUAUCGACGGAGUCGCAGCUGCCGUCCGCGCCGGUCAAGUAGCCAGUCCCUACAUUGCCUCCCCCUACGGCAUUGGCCCCCUUGGAAUUGCUUCCCCCUACACCACUUUAGGCGCGUAUGGUCUUGGUCUCCGCGCCUGGUAAUCAACCAGCUUUAACUAAACACCAUCCAUCCCGUUUAUGGUUGGGUUCGACAGCCACCUCAAAUGAUUCGCUCAAUCACACAUAUUUGACAUAACUCUCUUUAUAAUUAAGUCAAUCGGAAGCCAUCACAGCCAAAUUGUAAAUAAAACGACGAAUCCAAAUA